Molecule: long non-coding RNA, 4831 nt
Filed under: Sus scrofa (pig)
Lineage: Eukaryota; Metazoa; Chordata; Mammalia; Artiodactyla; Suidae
Description: lncRNA (ENSSSCG00000061133.1)
Source: RNAcentral
CAGGAGCAUCCCUGAUAGUAGGUCCAGAACCCAGACUGCCUAGUAUAGGGGCCAGGAGGGCAGGGCCAGUGGUAGGAGCAUGAAUUUCAUGGUUGGAUGGGUUUUUCAGGAUAACGAUGUCUCCAUAGGCUGGGAAUCCAAUGAUGAGCUUCUCAGCUGGGGCCCCAUUGCCCUUCCAGUGCUUCUUGGUUUAACCUUGCAAAGGUAGCAGUUUAGCUAGAGACCCCACCCUACUGAUGACCUAGUAAUAUGUAUUAGCUAAGCUUUUUUUUUUGAGUGGUUGUUCCUGCUGUAUAAAGUAUUUGCAAUGUGUUUCAGAGCAUCAUUGAUAUAUCUCUGUUGAAGUGGUAUGUAUCCCAACAAAUGUCUUUCAAUAACAUAACAGUAUGUAGGCUUUAGAUAUAGCCUUCCCACUAAAAAUGUAUGGCGAGAAGGACAAAGGGGGUUUUUUCAUGAUUUUUCUUGGUAUGAUCCAUUGCCGAAUGGCUGAAAUUCUGUAUGGCAUACAUGUGCAAGAGAUUAUCAUAGUAGAAAAAAGUCAAGACAGAAGGGGAAGAGAAGAAGAAGGAGGUGGGAGACAUGUUCUGUAAUUUAUGGGGAAAACAUGAGUAAUGGUACUUCAUCUUCUUUAUUUAAAAAAAAGCACAGGUUGUUAAUCUUGUUUCCUAUCUAAAUAAAAUUAUCAGUACAGUAUUAAUUAAUUGGUGAAUUUUUAGUAAGUGGAAACUGGCUAAUGACAUAACAGGCUGAUUUCUCAUUUAAGAAAAUUACUAAAUUUAUGAUGCCUUUUGUCCCUGAUCCUCCCUGUCAUUUACAGCAGCAUUCCUGGUCUGCCUUUGGGUCUGUGCGGGGACUCCACAUGGUUGGUGAUGCUGCCAGUGCCAGGUGGCUAUUUGUAGAGAGAGCUCUUCUGUCCAGCGUAGCCACCCCCGCAACCCCAGGAACCUGAGGUCAUGAGUCACAAUAUGGAUCUAGUCUAGGUGCCUGAGGUAUGGUAAAGGAUUUCUUUUUUGUUUUUUUAUUUACCUAAACAUGUCUUUCAACUUUACUUUUGGAUAUUUUCACUGAACAGAAUUGGGUUGACUUUUUUUUUUUUAGGGUUUAAAAGAUAGUCUAUUAUUUUUUGGCCUCUGAUAUUUAUUUCCUUUUUUUAAUUUUUCUUUUUGCAGUUACACCUGCGGCAUAUAGAAGUUGCCAGGCUAGGGGUCAAAUCAGAGCAGCAGCUGCCAGCCAAUGCCACAGCCACAGCAAUGCAGGACCAAAGCCACAUCUGUGACCUACACCCCCAGCUUGUGGCAAGGCCAGAUCCUUUAACCCAGGGAUCGAACCCACAUCCUCAUGGAUACUGGUCAGGUUCUUAACCUGCUGUACCACAACGGGAACUCCCAAAGACAUUUCUGAUUACUUUCCACUCCUAUGCAGGCAAAAGAUGAGACUUCCCAAACCGCCUAAACAAGGUUCCUGAACAGCGGGCUGACUAAGAAUGAGUGUCUCUUGCACAACUGAUACACAGAGGAGUUAUGGGACAUGUUAUCACUCACUGGGACAGCUGGGGGAUCUCAUAGCCAGACUGGAUGUUGGAGAUGCCAGCAGCUACCGCAGCGGUGACCAUCAGCUUGGGUUUGUUGAUCUCCUCGGCUUGCCGUCCGUGCAUAUUCCACACAUGCGUAGAAGAAAAUCUGUGGACAUCAACUCAACGCUGACUUCCAGCACUACUCUGAGUUAAGUUAGUCUCUCCCAUCCUUCGUUCCUCGCAUCCUCCCUGGAAUGGAGUCUCCAGAUCCCUCCUCUCCAACUGAGGCUGUAGGAGCUAGGCUUUCUAUGUGGCCUCAGUUUUCUUGCAUGAGAAACUGGUUGUCUGCUUUCCAGUCAAGAUCAAAUGGAAUACAGUUCACCUGCACCAGGACGGGGAAGAGACGCUUGUCCUGAGGAGCACUUCUGAGAGCCAGCGUUCUUCCAAACUCCUACUGGCCCAGGAAUUUGGUGCCUAAGGCGAUAGAAGUCUGGGGGUUCUCAGUAGUGGAAACGGUGGCAGCCAACAGCCCAAAGAAGGCAGGGUGAGGCCUUGGUCAUCCCAACAGCCUUGUCGUGAAAUCAGUGUAGAAAAUCAUCUUGAAAAGUUCCUGGAGCGGCUCCGAAAUCCCAGCUGCCAACAGCCGGGAGAGUUUUCACAUGACUCCUUCUGAGGGAAAAGAAGCAAAGAGUUGUGUCAGAACAAAUGGAAAGAAAGAUUAAGUUAUUUCAGCAUCAGCUGUUGGAGUGAUUGGGAGGUGAGGGAAGAGCUCAUGCAGCCUCUCAUGCUGGUUUUCUCCAUUCUCACACUUCUGUCCUAAAUAGUGAGAGUGGCUGGAGUCGGUGACCUAAGGUUGCUCUGUUUGAAUGUCUCCCCGCAUCUAAUUACUCCCUUUGGAGUAAAGCGCCCAACUCAGGACACCACUGUGUCAUCAUUGCCAGCUUUGGGGCCCUUCCAAGUGCAAGAAUUGUUUGCAUCUGAGCCCAUCAGUACUCAGACUUUCCCAAAUUUCCCUUGGCGACAGAGCCAUAUUUCAAAUGACAACCACCUCCUGUGAGCCAGCAAUUUCCCUUAUGUUAGAGUCAUCACUGUGCUGGAAAUAAUAAGAAAGCUCAGAAAGUAUCUGUGUGCUACUUGUUUGCCUGUUUGGAAUUUCAGCCUGGAGGCGGCUGCGGAAGCUUUUUUUCAAACUGUUCUUGAAGGUGAAAAGAUUUUGUAUCUCAGCGCUUUCAUCACUUACUUGUUUUUCAGUUCAAGGAGAGUUUGGCAGAGAGUUACAUCCUUUCAUUUAAUGGUGCCAUCUCAUUUCCCACAUCUCUCAGCAAUGGCAUAAGUCGGUAGAAGGACAGAGAGUCAUGCCGAGUUUCUGGAUUAUGAAGAAACAAAAAAAAGGAACGCCGUGGUGGUGUCACCCACAAGGAAGACAUACUCAUCGCAGCUGUCAGCAUGAGGAGCAGAGCUUAAGGCAACAGAGAGCAGCUGGAGGAACACACCUGUGAACAGAGGGGCCUUUGUGAUCUAGUGCUUCGCCUGCAGUAGGACACUUUUCCUAUCUUUUACUCCUGGAGUCCUUUUAAUACUCUCGGUAUAGACUCCCAGCUUCUCCUGGAAGCCCACUCCCCUCUGCUCCCACUCACGAGAUCACUAAAGAGGCAUAGGCUUGAUGAAGUGAGGGAGACAGCAGGGCAGAGAGACACCUGUCACCAGGGAAGGAACUUUGUCCCUGUGCUUUUGCCAAAAGCGAUCAACUCAGGCAAUUUAGUUUGAAUUUGAAGGUUAAAAAAAAAGUUUUCAAGUGGCAAAAAACAAACAAACAAACAAACAAAAAAAAAACAAAAAAAAUCAAAACCAAACCACCAAAAACAAAAACAAAAAGCAAAAUAACCAAGAAGAAGAAAAUGGCUCACAGGCACAGUGUUCCCGUGGUUCCUUACCAGUGAGAAGGAUGAGCUGGGUCAGUUGCCUCAGUGUAGAGGCUCCCUUGACCCACCUUCCUUUCUUAGCUUCAUCCUCUUCACUCGUGACCUACCAGAUUCUCCUUCAUCGUGACUGCCUCUAAAGCAAAUGUUGACCUUGGCAGUGCUAACAAAGCCCAGACUCAUUUAAGAACCUGUUAUUGACAGUGAAACCACACUAUCCUACUUCACUUUACAAGAAGCAAAGAUUGGGCUCCUGGCCCAGGAACCAUAUUAAUAAGCUCCAUUGAUGGAGGAGCUUACAUAAUUCAAGAUGGUUUAUGUCCAUGGGGCUCUAUUCUGGAUAGCAAAGCAACGAAUUGGCUAUAUCCUAUUCUCUUUGACAGGCAGAAGCAUGAACCAACGUUGCAUUCAUCUGUUGUUUGCAUUCAUUUGUUCCUUGUAAGAACAAAUGUUCCUCCUUGAGCAAAGGCAUAGAGAGGAGGAACCUGCUCUGGUUUUUUGCACUCAAAUUCUUACGUCUUUUCUCCUAUUCCCUUUCUCGUUCUUAUUCCUCCUACUUUGUCCCAAACGUCUACCCCUCAAAUGGCCCUACUGAGGGGCUCCUUCCCAUUGUGACACUUCCCCAGGUUCAGCCUGCCUCAGCGGCCCCCAGCAUAACAUGUGUCCCCACCAGCCCCUGAGCCUCAUGGGUGACCCUUCCCACGUGGUUAUUCCCCCAGGACAGCACCUUUUCCUGUGGUCCAUAUUUCUGUGACUGUUUCCCAUAUUCUGGUCACCAAGGCUCUCAGCACAAUAUCAUUUUUUCAAUCAUCUCUCUACUUGUCACCACACUUUGGUUACUAAGCUCCAUGGUCCUCCCCUCCUUGGGCCCAGAGUGUCCCCUCUUCUCAGGACCCUCCAUUACUCCCACCACCACUGCUCUCAGAGCUCCUCAUCUGGGACAGCUUACAGGCACACCUCAGAGACAUUGUGGGUUCAGUUCCAGACCACGGCAACGAAGCAAAUACUGCAAUACAGCAAGUUAACAUGUUUUUUUUUUUUUUUUUGGUUUCCCAGUGCAUAUAAAAGUUAUGUUUACACUAUGCUAUAAUCUGUCAAGUGUGUAAUAACAUUAUGUCUGAAAAAAAUGUACAUACCUUAAUUUGAAAAUAUUUCAUUUUUCAGGAGUUGCUGUCGUGGAUCGGCAGUUAAUGAAUCUGACUAUUACCUGUGAGGACUCAGGUUUGAUCCCUGGCCUUGCACAGUGGGUUAAGGAUCUGGUGUUGCCCUGAGCUGUGGUGUAGGCCAGCAGACAUGGCUCAGAUCCCACAUUGCUGUGGCUGUGGCGUGGCCAGCAGCUACAGCUCCGAUUAGAUCCCUGGGAACCUCCAUGUGUCUCGCGUGUGGCCCUAAAAAAGAC